CUGAAGAUCUCCGAUACGCACCAGUCUCCCCCGCGCGUGGCUGCUUGCCGGGCGCUCACUGCCCUGCGAGGCACGCUGAAUCGCCGAAUGAUCGGCUGUAAUGAAACUCAUAGCUGCUUUUGCUAGAAAAGAUAGGUUUAGAGAAGGAAUAGCUUUUGAGCUUUUGUGACACAAACUUGUUCUGCUACAGUUGCAAUUUUGGCCCCACAAUGGGUUUCAAUGAAAAGUUGGGACCGGGGGCGAGCCCCUGAUCAUCUAAAAAAAAACUAAACAAAGGAAAAUUCCGCGUUCUUUUACAUGCAUAAUUUUGCACAGAUAACGCACAAACUUUAGCCCUAGUUAAGACGCAGGUCCACACACGCUGAAAAAGAAAAGGAACACGCCAGUGUGUUUAAUCUGGC
This 401-nucleotide long non-coding RNA is filed under the name Brachypodium distachyon (stiff brome). Its description in RNAcentral is "long non-coding RNA (BDIS_LNC002539)". Lineage: Eukaryota; Viridiplantae; Streptophyta; Magnoliopsida; Poales; Poaceae. The record is from RNAcentral.